RNAcentral lists this ribosomal RNA (422 nucleotides) under uncultured bacterium. RNAcentral describes it as "partial 16S ribosomal RNA". It matches the Rfam family "Bacterial small subunit ribosomal RNA", at positions 360 to 774 of the family's 1533-position model. The record is from RNAcentral.
AAUAUUGGACAAUGGGGGCAACCCUGAUCCAGCCAUGCCGCGUGUGUGAAGAAGGNUUNNGGAUUNUNAAGCACUUUAAGUAGNNNNNAAGGGCUUUAGGCUAAUACCCUGAAGUUGUGACGUUACCAACAGAAAAAGCACCGGCUCACUUAGUCCCAGCAGCCGCGGUAAUACAGAGGGUGCAAGCGUUAAUCGGAAUUAAUGGGCGUAAAGCGCGCGUAGGUGGUUCAGUAAGAUGGGUGUGAAAUCCCCGGGCUUAACCUGGGAACUGCUUUCAUAACUGCUGAGCUAGAGUACGGUAGAGGGUAGUGGAAUUUCCUGUGUAGCGGUGAAAUGCGUAGAUAUAGGAAGGGACACCAGUGGCGAAGGCGACUACCUGGACUGAUACUGACACUGAGGUGCGAAAGCGUGGGGAGCAAACA